GCUUGCUGUACAGACUGCUGCCACACCAGCUGGCUAGGUCGCUCUAGAUGCAGUACAGUUAUGCUACAGCCAAGAUAACCCAGGAACAGAGACUGAUAAAAAGAAGGUCCAACACAUCUGCAUGAAGCAGAAAAUUAAAACUUAAAGGAUCAAAUGAUAACAACAACCAUGAAUCUAUCCCAGAACUGUGGAGUUAUGGAGGGCAAACAACCAUAUGGCUAAACAGCAAUGUCUUCAAAAAAUAUUUGAUCAGAGAGUUGUCUGAACUGAAAUAAAGUCACACUGGCCGAACUAGUACUGCAAUGAAAUAGAGUAAUAGAUAGAUCUGCUAUAAUGGAGUGAAGGAGUCAGAAGAUCCCUCCUGGCCCAUGGAUGGACAUGAUCUUUGAAGAUGACAGAGUAUAUAGGAUGUGAAGUCUACCCGAAGACAGACACCACUGCCAAACUUCAUGAGUGCGUCACACGGAUGAUGCACUCAUGGUGAUACAGCAGAUUUUAUCACUCAUACUCCUAUUACUCCUCACCUUUGCUACUCUAAUUGAGCCCAAUAAACUCAUUGGUUGACCAAGUUGGAAAUAUA
Molecule: non-coding RNA, 580 nt
Organism: Cricetulus griseus (Chinese hamster)
Lineage: Eukaryota; Metazoa; Chordata; Mammalia; Rodentia; Cricetidae
Source: RefSeq, a predicted model, not a curated record